AUUAAUUUAAUGUAAAUUUGCAUAUUAACUUUUCGUGUUAAAAGAAGAUUUUUUUCUAAUUAAUA
This 65-nucleotide transfer RNA is filed under the name Benedenia seriolae. Its description in RNAcentral is "tRNA-Glu". Lineage: Eukaryota; Metazoa; Platyhelminthes; Monogenea; Capsalidea; Capsalidae. The record is from RNAcentral.